AUGGAGCCCAAAUGUCGGCUCCUCGGGCAGCCCAUCCCUGCUGAGCCCCAAGCCCCCGAGGUGCACGUCCUCCACUCCUCCUGCACCACCAAGCCAGGUGCCAUCCAGCUGCUCUGCUUCAUCUCCGGCUUCUACCCUGAGCCUUUGAAGGUGGAAUGGCUGGUUAACGGCGAGCCCGGGUUACUUCACGGGGACACUGCCCCUGCCAAGAAGGACGCCGACGGCCGCACCUUCAUCACCCGCAGCAAUGCCAGCGUCUCCCAGGAUGUGUGGCUGGAGGGCAAGACGUACACCUGCCAGGUGUCCCACCCGGGCACUGGGAGCAAAAAGCAGGCCCACGCCCGCAAGUGCGAAGAAGAAACAACAUCUCCCAGCAACAUCCAGGUCUUCCUGGUGCCCCCAUCUCCUGCCGCCCUGUACGUGGCCCAGAGCCCCAUGCUCACCUGCCUGGUGGUCAACCUGCCUAGCGACUCCGGCCUCCAGGUGGUCUGGUCCCGGGAGAAGCCAGGGUCCAUUAUCCCUGAUCCCCUGACCCUCACUGAGCAGUUCAACAACACCUUCACCGCCUCCAGCUCCAUGCCCAUCUUCACCCGGGACUGGGAGGCCGGCGAGACCUUCACUUGCAAAGUGGAGCACUCGGACCUGAUCUCGCCCCUCAUCAAAUCGAUCUCCAAGAAGCCAGGCAAGCACUCCGCCCCGGGCGUCUACCUCCUGCACCCCCACAGUGAAGAGCUGAGCAGCAAAGGAGACUCUGUCAGUGUCACCUGCCUGGUGCGGGGCUUCUUCCCCGAGGACAUCUCGGUGCAGUGGAUGAAGAACCAUGAAGGUGAAAAGGAGACCAACUACAUCACCACCCCGCCCAUGAAGGAUGGAGCCAGCGACUCGAACUUCUUCCUCUACAGCAAGCUGAAAGUCAGCAAGGCCAGCUGGAACAGCGGGGACACCUACACCUGCAUGAUCACCCACGAAGCCCUCUCAUUGAAGUUCACCCAACGCAGCAUCAGCAAAAUCUCUGAGGUGAUCGUGUCUGGUGAGUUUUGCAGCGAGGACGAGGAUGAGGAGCUGGAUGGACUCUGGUCAAGCAUCUCGGUCUUCAUCACCCUCUUCCUCUUGAGCGUGUGCUACAGCGCAACCGUGACCCUGUUCAAGGUGAAGUGGUUUUUCUCCACCCUGGUGCAGCUGAAGAAGGCGAGUGGCCCCGAGUACAAGAACGUGAUCCAGCGCGUGGUGUAG
Molecule: non-coding RNA, 1233 nt
Organism: Gopherus evgoodei (Goodes thornscrub tortoise)
Lineage: Eukaryota; Metazoa; Chordata; Testudines; Testudinidae
Source: the annotation of a RefSeq genome assembly